AGAGUUUGAUUCAUGGCUCAGAACGAACGCUGGCGGCGUGCCUAACACAUGCAAGUCGAGCGAGAAAGUCCCGGCAACGGGAUGAGUAAAGCGGCAAACGGGUGAGUAACGCGUGGGUAAUCUACCCUACGGAUCGGGAUAACCUGCCGAAAGGUGGACUAAUACCGGAUGAUGUUCUUGCGGUGAUUCCGUGAGAACCAAAGGGGGCGAGCGUAAGCAGCUCUCACCGAAGGAGGAGCCUGCGUCCGAUUAGCUAGUUGGUGGGGUAAUGGCCUACCAAGGCGACGAUCGGUAGCCGGCCUGAGAGGGCGAUCGGCCACACUGGAACUGAGACACGGUCCUGACUCCUACGGGAGGCAGCAGUGGGAAUAUUGCGCAAUGGGCGAAAGCCUGACGCAGCGACGCCGCGUGGGUGAUGAAGGCCUUCGGGUCGUAAAGCCCUGUCUGGUGGAACGAAACGCCUGGCGGCCAAUACCCGCCGGGUUUGACGGUACCACCGAAGGAAGCCCCGGCUAACUACGUGCCAGCAGCCGCGGUAAGACGUAGGGGGCGAGCGUUGUUCGGAUUUACUGGGCGUAAAGCGCGCGUAGGCGGCCAGAUAAGUCGGGUGUGAAAGCCCUCGGCUCAACCGAGGUUCCGCAUCCGAUACUGCUUGGCUGGAGUCUAGGAGAGGAGAGCGGAAUUCCCAGUGUAUCGGUGACCUGCGUAGAUAUUGAGAGGAACACCCGUGUCGUAGGCGGCUCUCUGGACUAGAACUGACGCUAAGGCGCUAAUUCUAGGGUUAGCAAACGGACAUAGAUAACCACUGUAUAGCCGUAGUUGU
RNAcentral lists this ribosomal RNA (823 nucleotides) under uncultured bacterium. RNAcentral describes it as "bacterial SSU rRNA". It matches the Rfam family "Bacterial small subunit ribosomal RNA", at positions 8 to 803 of the family's 1533-position model. The record is from RNAcentral.